RNAcentral lists this ribosomal RNA (230 nucleotides) under uncultured bacterium. Its description in RNAcentral is "partial 16S ribosomal RNA". It matches the Rfam family "Bacterial small subunit ribosomal RNA", at positions 562 to 791 of the family's 1533-position model. The record is from RNAcentral.
AAAGGGUGCGUAGGCGGUUUAUUAAGUCAGUGGUGAAAGACGGUCGCUCAACGAUUGCAGUGCCAUUGAUACUGGUAGACUUGAGUGGGAUUGAGGUAGCUGGAAUGGAUAGUGUAGCGGUGAAAUGCAUAGAUAUUAUCCAGAACACCAAUUGCGUAGGCAAGUUACUAAGUCUCAACUGACGCUGAGGCACGAAAGUGUGGGUAUCAAACAGGAUUAGAUACCCUGGU